AUUGAACGCUGGCGGCAUGCUUUACACAUGCAAGUCGAACGGUAACAGGGAGCUUGCUCCGCUGACGAGUGGCGAACGGGUGAGUAAUGCAUCGGAACGUACCCAGUCGUGGGGGAUAACGUAGCGAAAGUUACGCUAAUACCGCAUACGUCCUGAGGGAGAAAGCGGGGGGACCGUAAGGCCUCGCGCGAUUGGAGCGGCCGAUGUCGGAUUAGCUAGUUGGUAGGUAAAGGCCUACCAAGGCGACGAUCCGUAGCGGGUCUGAGAGGAUGAUCCGCCACACUGGGACUGAGACACGGCCCAGACUCCUACGGGAGGCAGCAGUGGGGAAUUUUGGACAAUGGGCGAAAGCCUGAUCCAGCCAUGCCGCGUGAGUGAAGAAGG
Molecule: ribosomal RNA, 384 nt
Filed under: uncultured bacterium
Lineage: Bacteria
Description: bacterial SSU rRNA
Rfam family: Bacterial small subunit ribosomal RNA
Source: RNAcentral